UUUUNCNUACAAUAAGCGGAGGAAAAGAAACUAACAAGGAUUCCCCUAGUAACGGCGAGUGAAGCGGGAAGAGCUCAAAUUUGAAAUCUGGUAGCCUUCGGCUGCCCGAGUUGUAAUCUAGAGAAGUGUUUUCCGUGCCGGCCCAUGUACAAGUCCCUUGGAACAGGGCGUCAUAGAGGGUGAGAAUCCCGUCCUUGACAUGGACCCCCGGUGCUUUGUGAUACACUUUCAACGAGUCGAGUUGUUUGGGAAUGCAGCUCAAAAUGGGUGGUGAAUUCCAUCUAAAGCUAAAUAUUGGCGAGAGACCGAUAGCGAACAAGUACCGUGAGGGAAAGAUGAAAAGCACUUUGGAAAGAGAGUUAAACAGUACGUGAAAUUGUUGAAAGGGAAACGAUUGAAGUCAGUCAUGCUCUUUGGAUUCAGCCGUUCUGCGGUGUAUUUCCAUUGAGUGGGGUCAACAUCAGUUUUGAUCGCUGGAUAAAGGCACUAGGAAGGUAGCACUCUCGGGUGAACUUAUAGCCUAGCGUCAUAUACAGUGAUUGGGACUGAGGAACGCAGCAUGCCUUUAUGGCCGGGAUUCGUCCACGUACAUGCUCUAGGAU
RNAcentral lists this ribosomal RNA (602 nucleotides) under Naganishia uzbekistanensis. RNAcentral describes it as "eukaryotic LSU rRNA". It matches the Rfam family "Eukaryotic large subunit ribosomal RNA", at positions 34 to 624 of the family's 3401-position model. The record is from RNAcentral. Lineage: Eukaryota; Fungi; Basidiomycota; Tremellomycetes; Filobasidiales; Filobasidiaceae.